ACAUGCAGUCGAGCGGACAGAUGGGAGCUUGCUCCCUGAUGUUAGCGGCGGACGGGUGAGUAACACGUGGGUAACCUGCCUGUAAGACUGGGAUAACUCCGGGAAACCGGGGCUAAUACCGGAUGGUUGUUUGAACCGCAUGGUUCAAACAUAAAAGGUGGCUUCGGCUACCACUUACAGAUGGACCCGCGGCGCAUUAGCUAGUUGGUGAGGUAACGGCUCACCAAGGCAACGAUGCGUAGCCGACCUGAGAGGGUGAUCGGCCACACUGGGACUGAGACACGGCCCAGACUCCUACGGGAGGCAGCAGUAGGGAAUCUUCCGCAAUGGACGAAAGUCUGACGGAGCAACGCCGCGUGAGUGAUGAAGGUUUUCGGAUCGUAAAGCUCUGUUGUUAGGGAAGAACAAGUACCGUUCGAAUAGGGCGGUACCUUGACGGUACCUAACCAGAAAGCCACGGCUAACUACGUGCCAGCAGCCGCGGUAAUACGUAGGUGGCAAGCGUUGUCCGGAAUUAUUGGGCGUAAAGGGCUCGCAGGCGGUUUCUUAAGUCUGAUGUGAAAGCCCCCGGCUCAACCGGGGAGGGUCAUUGGAAACUGGGGAACUUGAGUGCAGAAGAGGAGAGUGGAAUUCCACGUGUAGCGGUGAAAUGCGUAGAGAUGUGGAGGAACACCAGUGGCGAAGGCGACU
Molecule: ribosomal RNA, 690 nt
Filed under: Bacillus subtilis
Lineage: Bacteria; Bacillati; Bacillota; Bacilli; Caryophanales; Bacillaceae
Description: bacterial SSU rRNA
Rfam family: Bacterial small subunit ribosomal RNA
Source: RNAcentral